RNAcentral lists this long non-coding RNA (413 nucleotides) under Equus caballus (horse). Its description in RNAcentral is "lncRNA (ENSECAG00000034851.2)". Lineage: Eukaryota; Metazoa; Chordata; Mammalia; Perissodactyla; Equidae. The record is from RNAcentral.
CGGAGCGUUUAGAGUUCCGGCUGCUCCUUAGGGAUCUCUGCCUCCUCACCAGCAGGCUGGGAGCCGGCCCUUCUCGCUGUUUCUGGCGUCUGCCUCCAGCAAGUCCUCCCGUUUCUCUACCUCUUCCCUCAUUUCCCGUCUGCCCAGCUUUGUGUGAAACCAGACGACAAAGGGUGUUCGGAUUAAGAGCCAGAUGUUAGAGAAAUUUCUGGAAUGUUCCAGGUACACCUAUGUCCUCCAACACGAAAGUUAAAGCAUGUCCUUGAGACUUCUCAGACACCACUGCCACUCUCUUAGAUGAGAAAACCGAGGCAGUUUGAAGGCUGCAAAGAAGUCAGACACGGGUCCCGCCACGAGAAUUUACACCAGGGCUGCAGGAAAGCAUCGCGUGAGGAUUGAGAACUUGGGCUCUG